RNAcentral lists this long non-coding RNA (2088 nucleotides) under Taeniopygia guttata (zebra finch). RNAcentral describes it as "lncRNA (ENSTGUG00000028350.1)". Lineage: Eukaryota; Metazoa; Chordata; Aves; Passeriformes; Estrildidae. The record is from RNAcentral.
GUGGGACCCUCGGGGGGCGGCGUGGGACCCCCAACUCCGGGCGGGCAGUGCGAGAGAACCGGGGGGUGCCGCUGGAAGGGUCUGGGGGCGAUGGGGUGGGGGGGCACGGAGAGGGGGGCUGGAGGCUGGCAGGGCGGGGACCCCCGGUGGCAGCAGUGGGGUGACCCUGCUGUGUCCCGCAGGUGCCGUCCGGAGGUGCCGGGCCCCCCAAAACACCCAGCCCAGCUCGGGUACCACAGGCGGGGCCGAGCAGCAUCUUCUCCUGCAUCCCUGAGCACGUCAGGCGCCCGUCCAUCCUCGGGGACAGGCCGUGCUCAGGCCCGGCCACCGCUGACCUCUGCGCUCCGACCUCCGACGCCUUCGGGAUCCCUUCUCCAGGGAAUUCAGCCCAUCCAGGCCCGCUCGGCCCGUCCUACCUAUGGAGAUGCUUCAUGGACCGUCAGCAAACAGCACGCGCGGGCCCCUCCCGGCGUGGAGCACCGCUGGAUGAGCUCUCGGAGAAGUCCUGGCGUGGUUUCCAAGCAAGGCCGGGCUGCCUGCAGCGAUUUUAGCGCCCUGCUCCCUCUCCUGAGCCGUGCCAGCCGCUCCUGGAUCCCCUGGGAUGUUCUCCCUUGAGCUCCAAGCAGCAGCCACCGACCUGGACAGAGCCCGCGGGGAUUAUUGCGGAGCUGCUGGGAAGGAGCUCCCGCUGGUGGGGCUGUCCUGGGGCAGAUGAGCGAGCCGGUGAUGAACGGGAGGGUGCCCCUGCCGGAGAAAGCUUUGUCCGAGGGCUACGCCCGCCUCAGGUACCGGGACACCUCCCUGCUCAUCUGGCAGCAGCAGCAGCAGAAACUGGAGUCGGCUCCCCCCAACACCUACCUGAGCCGCAGCAGGAGCAUGUGGUACUCGCAGUACGGCAACGAGGCCAUCCUGGUGCGGGACAAAAACAAGCUGGAUGUCUCCAGGGACACGGGGCAGUCCAAGUUUUGUGCUAUUAUGUAAUUCCCCGUAGGAAUCCACACGUGGAGAGGAAGCGGAGCUGGGGGAGGCGGGUGUGCACCACCCUCUCACAGCCCCGCAGGAAGGCUGAAGUUGGAUUGUUUCUGUUUGAUUUUGCUGUUUAUAGACUCCCAUUCUGCAUGUCAGCCAGUGUGUGCAGCAAACCCAGUCUGGCUGGGGAGCCCUCGAGCCUGCUGCUGCCCAGCAUCUUGGCAGGGGCCGUGCUGGACCGUGUGUUGCUUCUAAGAGGCUCGUGUGCCCUGAGAAACACCCGCUGGCACCUGGGCACGUCCCCAGCCACCCUUCCUGGCCAGUCCUGGUGCAUUUCCAGAGCUCUGGGAAUGCUGGUGGGACAGAGGCGAGCACAGAUCUGUUCCCAUCAAGGCUGUGGCUUUAAGAAGUUGAUCUCCAAAACCAUCUGGCCAUUACUUGUUCUGUUUGCCCUGUCUUUAAUUCCUGCCCUGAAGUGGUCUCUUCCAGCCAGGGAAUGGAGUGGGUUUGUUGUGGGAACAGGGAGAGAAUGUGUUGAGAAUUUAAUCCGAGCCUUCAAAACACCUGGUAGGGGAAGGUGUGCUGGAGUUUCAUGCAAAGCCAAGGCCCUUCUCUGAUCCCACGGUGUGGGAUCAUGGAAAUAACAGGAGCUUUGGAGUCAGGGGAGCUGACUCCUUUCGGGAACAGAUCCCCCAUGAACCACCCAAAAGGGAGGGACAGGCCCAGGAAAGCAACAGCAAGAGCCCCCUGUAAAUACACACACGUGCUGAAGCUCCUGCACAGCACAGAGCCACUCCUGAGAUGGGCUGCACAAGGACAGAGGCCACUGGAGUUUGCUUUGCAUUCAAGUUUUAACGCAUGCAGUAGCUUGGAAGGGUUUAACUUCUAGUUCAGGUUGGAUUGUAGGUUUGGUGCAUGUACUUUAAAAGUUGUGUCUGGGAUUGUUACAAUUAACCGGAGGAUUUUAGGAGGGAGAAGCAUUGCCCUGCUUGGGCACAGAGGCUGCUGCUUUCAGGUUGAAGUUUCUGCUGAAUCCUGACUUUUCACGCUGAGAAACUCAGCCCAGCAAGGACCUGAAUCUUUGUUAGAAACAAAACUACUACUUCCAGGGGUGGGAAU